GACGAACGCUGGCGGCGUGCUUAACACAUGCAAGUCGAACGAUGACGACCGAACUUCCUCGGCCUGAUUAGUGGCGAUCGGGCGAGUAACACGUGCACAACCUGCCCUCCACUUUGGGAUAACCUCGGGAAAUCGGAGCUACUCCAGGAUCUGAGCCCCUGUCGCCUUGCGGGCGUUGGAUUGUUUUGCGGUGCAUGCUUGGCUCGCGGCCUAUCUGAUUGUUGGUUUGGUAGUGGCUCACGAAGUCGAUGAGGGGCAGCCGACCAGCGAGGGUGACCGGACACACUGGGACUGCGACACGGCCCAGUCGCGUACAUGAGGCAGGAGUGGGGAAUAUUACACAAUGUGCGCAAGCCUGAUGCAGCGGCGCCGCGUAUGGGAUGACAGCCUUCGGGUAGUAAACAUCUUUCAGCAGGGAAGAAGCUAGAGUGACGGUACCUACAGAAGAAGCGCCGGCUAACUACGUG
RNAcentral lists this ribosomal RNA (467 nucleotides) under uncultured bacterium. Its description in RNAcentral is "partial 16S ribosomal RNA". It matches the Rfam family "Bacterial small subunit ribosomal RNA", at positions 28 to 507 of the family's 1533-position model. The record is from RNAcentral.